RNAcentral lists this ribosomal RNA (2214 nucleotides) under Caulerpa lentillifera. RNAcentral describes it as "23S ribosomal RNA". It matches the Rfam family "Bacterial large subunit ribosomal RNA", at positions 34 to 1703 of the family's 2925-position model. The record is from RNAcentral. Lineage: Eukaryota; Viridiplantae; Chlorophyta; Ulvophyceae; Bryopsidales; Caulerpaceae.
AGGGUUUGCUCUACUGGACGUGUGUAGCCACGAAAGGGUCCCCGGAAGGUACUGCGGACAUUUCCAGAUUUGAUAACAGUGCCAUUAAAUAAACAACGUGGAACUGAACCAUCUUAGUACACGUUAGUGGUCGGUAGUAACGGUGAGUGAACCCGGCAGCAGUUGGCCUUUCGUGCACAGGAACCCUAUGGAAAAUAGGGAGCUCUAAAGGCAAACACCCCAUAAAAGUAACACUGUCUUAUAGUUUAGUAAGGCCAACAGCAAAGUACGGAAAGGCCUACACAAUUCCGCUAUGGGGUUUAUAUGCCGAAGACGCCAAAGCGGGUGAAAGCCCCUUACCUGCAUGUGGCCUGGGCGUCAUCGCUGUUGUAGGGGCACCUCCCCACAUGACGACGAUUGGCAGCAAACACCGAUAGUGAACAAGUACCGUGAGGGAAAGGUGAAAAGCACGCGGAUCGCGGUUGAAAUAGACACUGAAACUCUAGGAUGUAGUAGCUGUCGCACGGAUACCCGAAAAGGAAGCAAAAGCAAAGCGUGGAGCCGCCGAAGGCGUUGUUGGCCUUUUAUUGUCUUGGCCUUAGCAAGCGCCGAAGGAAGGCUUCCUUUUAAGCAAAGACCAAGACCUAGCCUUUGUCUGUUUGUAGUUUGAAUAGGGGUUUGGCGGCGUACCUUUUGUAUAAUGGGUCAGCGAGUUGUUUUCUGGUGCGAAGGCUUAAGCCGUUAGGUGGAGGCAAAGAUGAUCGCGAUGUGUAUUCCGCCAAUGUCCCAGGAAACAGACCCGAAAUCCAGUGAGCUGGCCGCUUACAGGUUGAACGCGACCGAUAGGGCGCCGGGAGGACCUCACGCACGUCUGUGGCAAAAGGCGGCGAAGAUGAGCGGCCAGGGGUGAAAGGCCAAUCAAACUGGGAAAUAGCUGGUUUUUUGCGAAAUCUAUUGUGGUAGAGUGCUGUGAAUAACUGUUCGGUGUAGACAACUAUGGUGACGCCUCGCGCUUAUACCUUAGUAAGUUAUCAAGACCAGCAGGUGCUAGUUAUAUUAAGCCGUCCUACGGCCGCCCUCUUUACGGUUGCACGUGCUACGGGCCCCGAAAGGGGCCUAGGGAAAAGCGCCAACAGCAGACGAGGAGCGUACCAGCUUUAUACGCCAUAAACAAACCAAUGAAUCGGUUGGUAAAGCGGUGCGCUCCUUCAGUAAGUACGUCCAAAGGCCAACGCCACCCCUUUGAAAGGCCAACGACAACUUUUAGGGCCGCGAAACGAAGACGAGCGCUGCAAUACGGUGCUAGCCGCAAUACGGUGCGCGGAGCGCUUGUGCAAAGGAGGGGGUCCUUACCGCGUUGUUUGGCCAUUUGUUUGCGGGUUUAGUUUAUAAGAUUCAGCGCACAGAUCCAUUGCCCAAGGUUUUGGGUCAAAAGGGAAACAGCCCAGAUCAUCCGUUAAGGGCCCUAAAGAGUGUACUUACAAAGGCCUACAGAGCAGCAGUGACCGCCAGAAAGUGGGCUUGGAAGCAGCCAUCUUUUUAAAACAGCGUAAUAGCGCACUGGCCGAGCGCUUUUGGGCCAAAUAAUGCACGGGUGUGACACUCUCCCGAAACGAUGGCUGGCAGCCGCCAGGGUAGCAAAACGUUCUGACCAACUGGCUCAGAAGUGAUAAUGCUGACAUGAGUAGCAACACUUCAGUGAAACACUGGAGCAUUUGGCUAAGGUUUUCUGGGCGCCGUUGGUCGUCCCAGUAAGCAAUCGGCCCCUAAGCACUUAUUGUGGUGAAGGGGAAGGCAGUGGAGUUAAUAGGCGUUGUUUCGGUUCCUAGGACUACACCGACAUAAUGCGCACCAAAAGAAACGCCGAAGCACUUUGGGUUGCCGUAGGACGUGGCGUUUAUUCCAUGUAAUGAAACGGAAUGCAAACGAGUACUAAGGCAUCCUCAAUCGCUGGAGUUAUGCUGUUGGAUCUCAAGGCUUGGCCUGGAGCCAAGUAUGCUAAAAGCCGGUACCAAAAACCGUUAUAUACUUUAAAAAUAAUGAAAAUACUUCGUCAUCCGAAAGCGCCUGUUUUCAGCAGGACCCAUCGGCGAGCUCUGGGCCUAUAAGGGCGUAGCCCUACGGGGAGCGAAGGUCCGGCGUGCUGCGGGUUUCGUCUCUUCUGGAAAAGAACCGCAUAGAGCACCGUACCAAAACCAACACUGGUGGCCAAAAGAAAAUGACGAGAGAAUCCCG